AGCCUAAAGGUUUAUUUUAGGUGAUACCUGCCCAGUGCUAAUAUAGUUAACGGCCGCAGUACCUUGACUGUGCUAAGGUAGCAUAAUAAGUUGGCUUUUAAAUGGAGUCGGGAAUGAAUGGGAUAAUGGGGUUAAGCUGUCUCUAUCGCAUUAAUUUUAACUUAACUAUUAGGUGAAAAUGCCUAAGUCACGAAAAAAGACGAGAAGACCCUAGGAGUUUUUAUGAAAAGUUUUUAUUUUAGCUUAAAUUUUUGUUGGGGCGACACGGGAAGAUAAAUAUAUUUAAACUUCCUUUAUUUUAUUUGCCGACUAUGUAUGAUAAUUUAAACUACCCUAGGGAUAACAGCGUAAUUUUUUAUAAAGUUUGCGACCUCGAUGUUGGACUAGGAAUUUUAUAGACUAGCCGUCUAUUAUUAUUGUUCUGUUCGAACUUUUCCUCC
This 440-nucleotide ribosomal RNA is filed under the name Cyerce elegans. RNAcentral describes it as "partial 16S ribosomal RNA". It matches the Rfam family "Bacterial large subunit ribosomal RNA", at positions 1829 to 2595 of the family's 2925-position model. The record is from RNAcentral. Lineage: Eukaryota; Metazoa; Mollusca; Gastropoda; Caliphyllidae.